UACGGGGGGGGCAAGCGUUGUUCGGAAUUACUGGGCGUAAAGGGCUCGUAGGCGGCCAACUAAGUCAGACGUGAAAUCCCUCGGCUUAACCGGGGAACUGCGUCUGAUACUGGAUGGCUUGAGAUUGGGAGAGGGAUGCGGAAUUCCAGGUGUAGCGGUGAAAUGCGUAGAUAUCUGGAGGAACACCGGUGGCGAAGGCGGCAGCCUGGACCAACACUGACGCUGAGGAGCGAAAGCGUGGGGAGCGAACAGG
Molecule: ribosomal RNA, 253 nt
Filed under: uncultured bacterium
Lineage: Bacteria
Description: partial 16S ribosomal RNA
Rfam family: Bacterial small subunit ribosomal RNA
Source: RNAcentral